AUUGAACGCUGGCGGCAUGCCUUACACAUGCAAGUCGAACGGCAGCACGGGAGCUUGCUCCUGGUGGCGAGUGGCGAACGGGUGAGUAAUACAUCGGAACGUACCCAGUCGUGGGGGAUAACGUAGCGAAAGUUACGCUAAUACCGCAUACGUCCUGAGGGAGAAAGCGGGGGACCGUAAGGCCUCGCGCGAUUGGAGCGGCCGAUGUCGGAUUAGCUAGUUGGUAGGGUAAAGGCCUACCAAGGCGACGAUCCGUAGCGGGUCUGAGAGGAUGAUCCGCCACACUGGGACUGAGACACGGCCCAGACUCCUACGGGAGGCAGCAGUGGGGAAUUUUGGACAAUGGGCGAAAGACCUGAUCCAGCCAUGCCGCGUGAGUGAAGAAGGCCUGUGU
This 394-nucleotide ribosomal RNA is filed under the name uncultured bacterium. Its description in RNAcentral is "bacterial SSU rRNA". It matches the Rfam family "Bacterial small subunit ribosomal RNA", at positions 29 to 421 of the family's 1533-position model. The record is from RNAcentral.